UGAGGAACAUGACCUUCGGCGGGGGAUAGCCUGCCCAACGGCCGGGUAAUACCGCGUACGACCACAUGGGGACAUCCCUGAGUGGUGAAAGCAGCAAUGCGCCGAUGGAGUGCCUCGCGGCCUAUCAGCUAGUUGGUGUGGUAACGGCUCACCAAGGCGACGACGGGUAGCUGGUCUGAGAGGAUGGCCAGCCACAGUUGGGACUGAGACCGACGGCCCAGAUCCCGUAACGGG
RNAcentral lists this ribosomal RNA (234 nucleotides) under uncultured bacterium. RNAcentral's name for it is "partial 16S ribosomal RNA". It matches the Rfam family "Bacterial small subunit ribosomal RNA", at positions 118 to 345 of the family's 1533-position model. The record is from RNAcentral.